This 440-nucleotide ribosomal RNA is filed under the name uncultured bacterium. RNAcentral's name for it is "partial 16S ribosomal RNA". It matches the Rfam family "Bacterial small subunit ribosomal RNA", at positions 338 to 795 of the family's 1533-position model. The record is from RNAcentral.
CCUACGGGAGACAGCAGUGGGGAAUAUUGCACAAUGGGGGAAACCCUGAUGCAGCGACGCCGCGUGAGUGAAGAAGUAAUUCGUUAUGUAAAGCUCUAUCAGCAGGGAAGAAAAUGACGGUACCUGAGUAAGAAGCCACGGCUAACUACGUGCCAGCAGCCGCGGUACUACGUAGGGGGCAAGCGUUAUCCGGAUUUCCUGGGUGUAAAGGGAGCGUAGACGGCAGUGCAAGUCUGGAGUGAAAGGCGGGGGCUCAACCCCCGGACUGCUCUUGAAACUGUACGGCUGGAGUGCAGUAGAGGUAAGUGGAAUUCCUGGUGUAGCGGUGAAAUGCGUAGAUAUUAGGAGGAACACCAGUGGCGAAGGCGGCUUACUGGACUGUAACUGACGUUGAGGCUCGAAAGCGUGGGGAGCAAACAGGAUUAGAUACCCUAGUAGUC